UAUGUUGUUACUGAUGACAAAAUGGAGGUCAAGUUCAAUAAUGACGAUUUUGACUUUUACCGUUCAGGAGUUAUGGUUCUUGAAAGAUUGAAAAAUGGUGUUUCCAGUUGUGUCCGUGCAUUUUCUCAUGAACCAUUCAACCAAAGCUUUUGAAAUUUUUAUAUGUUGUUACUGAUGGCAAAAUAGAGGUCAAGUUCUAUAAUGACGAUUUUGACUUUUACCGUUCAGGAGUUAUGGUUCUUGAAAAAUUGUAAAAUGGUGUUUCCAUUCACGUUGUUGCAUUUACUCAUGAACCAUUCAAUCUAAGCUUUUCAAAUUUUAAUAUGUUGAUACUGAUGACAAAAUGGAGGUCAAAUUUGAUAUUGACGAUUUUCACUUUCACCAUUCAUCAGUAAUGGUUCUUGUGAUAUUGCCAGGACACAAAUAAAUAUUAAUAAAUCCGGUUUGCUGUCGUUGUGACAGCCUCUUGUUUU
Molecule: long non-coding RNA, 473 nt
Filed under: Mytilus galloprovincialis (Mediterranean mussel)
Lineage: Eukaryota; Metazoa; Mollusca; Bivalvia; Mytilida; Mytilidae
Source: RNAcentral